UCCGGCUUCCAUACGAUCACCGAAGUUAAACAACGUCGAAUCUGUCAGUACCUAGAUGGGUGACCGCUUAGGAAUACCAGCUGCUGUAAG
Acanthosepion pharaonis is the source of this 90-nucleotide non-coding RNA. Lineage: Eukaryota; Metazoa; Mollusca; Cephalopoda; Sepiida; Sepiidae. The record is from the annotation of a GenBank genome assembly.